Molecule: ribosomal RNA, 368 nt
Filed under: uncultured bacterium
Lineage: Bacteria
Description: bacterial SSU rRNA
Rfam family: Bacterial small subunit ribosomal RNA
Source: RNAcentral
GGGCCCGCACAAGCGGUGGAGUAUGUGGUUUAAUUCGAUGCAACGCGAAGAACCUUACCAGGGUUUGACAUCCUGCGAAUUUCUGGGAAACCGGAAAGUGCCUUCGGGAGCGCAGUGACAGGUGGUGCAUGGCUGUCGUCAGCUCGUGUCGUGAGAUGUUGGGUUAAGUCCCGCAACGAGCGCAACCCACGUCUUUAGUUGCCAGCAUUUAGUUGGGCACUCUAGAGAGACUGCCGGUGAUAAACCGGAGAAGGUGUGGAUGACGUCAAGUCAUCAUGCCCCUUACAUCUGGGCUACACACGUACUACAAUGCUACGGACAAAGGGCAGCAAGUUCGCGAGGACAAGCAAAUCCCAUAAACGUGGCUC